UUGUUUGAAGUAAGAUGACUGCCCAUAUGUUUUCAUUACCAGUGUAACAGUUCCUGGCUGGAACCUAGCUUAAUACUUUUAAGCAAUGCAUCUGAAAUGUAGGUCCAAAGUUUAACUGUAACUAGUGACUAGCCCUAAGUGGAAUCUUACUUAUGGGCUGUCUGGUUAGACUUCUGCUUUUAGGUGCAACCGGCUGUCAACACAGACUGACAGGGUUUGUCUCCUCAUUCCAAACUGGGUUUUCUCUAGGAAAUGGGAUCUCUUGCCUUGAAACGCAUCUGGCUGAGAGAGUACAGAGCAAUGACAUUAACCAGAUGGUACUGGAAUUAAACAGUUGUCAUAUACCGACCUUCUGGGCAAAAAUGGGUCUUGGGCAUUCCCUGGCAAUCCAGUGGUUAGGACUCUACACUUUUACUGCUGAGGGCCGAGAUUCAAUCCCUGGUGGGGGACCUAAGAUCCCGAAAGCCUCAAGCAACACAGGCAUCAUGGCAUGAGGAUAAUAAAUCAGUGCAUGGAAAAGCCCACAUGGGGAGGAACUGAGCCUUCUGCCUACAACCAGCAUCAUGUAAAUAUGCCAUCCUGGAAGCUAUUGUGGACUGAAAGUUUGUGUCCCCCAAAUUCACAUACUGAAGCCCUAACUCCCCUCACAGCAUGGCCACAUUUGGAGAUGAAACCUCUAAGGAAAAAGGCCAUGUGAAGUCAUAGUAAGGAGGUGCCAUCUGCAAGCAAGGAAGAGAGCCUUCAGAAGAAAUCCAUUUGCUGGCACCUUGAUCAUGAAUUUCCAACCUCCAAAACCAUGAAAA
Molecule: long non-coding RNA, 803 nt
Organism: Cervus elaphus (red deer)
Lineage: Eukaryota; Metazoa; Chordata; Mammalia; Artiodactyla; Cervidae
Exons: 5
Source: RefSeq, a predicted model, not a curated record